UACGGAGAGUGCAAGCGUUGUUCGGAAUUACUGGGCGUAAAGAGCGUGUAGGCGGUUUUGUUAGUCUGAUGUGAAAGCCCGGGGCUCAACCCCGGAAGUGCAUUGGAAACUGCAUCACUUGAGUACUGGAGGGGAAAGCGGAAUUCCGAGUGUAGAGGUGAAAUUCGUAGAUAUUCGGAGGAACACCAUUGGCGAAGGCGGCUUUCUGGACAGAUACUGACGCUGAGACGCGAAAGCGUGGGGAGCAAAC
Molecule: ribosomal RNA, 250 nt
Filed under: uncultured bacterium
Lineage: Bacteria
Description: partial 16S ribosomal RNA
Rfam family: Bacterial small subunit ribosomal RNA
Source: RNAcentral